This 460-nucleotide ribosomal RNA is filed under the name uncultured bacterium. Its description in RNAcentral is "partial 16S ribosomal RNA". It matches the Rfam family "Bacterial small subunit ribosomal RNA", at positions 338 to 795 of the family's 1533-position model. The record is from RNAcentral.
CCUACGGGGGGCAGCAGUGAGGAAUAUUGGUCAAUGGACGAGAGUCUGAACCAGCCAAGUAGCGUGAAGGAUGACUGCCCUAUGGGUUGUAAACUUCUUUUAUAAAGGAAUAAAACGAGGCACGUGUGCCUUUUUGCAUGUACUUUAUGAAUAAGGAUCGGCUAACUCCGUGCCAGCAGCCGCGGUAAUACGGAGGAUCCGAGCGUUAUCCGGAUUUGUUGGGUUUAAAGGGAGCGGAGAUGGGUUGUUAAGUCAGUUGUGAAAGUUUGCGGCUCAACCGUAAAAUUGCAAUUGAUACUGGCAGUCUUGAGUACAGUUGAGGUAGGCGGAAUUCGUGGUGUAGCGGUGAAAUGCUUAGAUAUCACGAAGAACCCCGAUUGCGAAGGCAGCUUACUAAACUGUGACUGACAUUGAUGCUCGAAAGUGUGGGUAUCAAACAGGAUUAGAUACCCGAGUAGUC